Molecule: ribosomal RNA, 440 nt
Filed under: uncultured bacterium
Lineage: Bacteria
Description: partial 16S ribosomal RNA
Rfam family: Bacterial small subunit ribosomal RNA
Source: RNAcentral
CCUACGGGGGGCAGCAGUGGGGAAUAUUGCACAAUGGGGGAAACCCUGAUGCAGCGACGCCGCGUGAGUGAAGAAGUAAUUCGUUACGUAAAGCUCUAUCAGCAGGGAAGAAAAUGACGGUACCUGAGUCAGAAGCCCCGGCUAACUACGUGCCAGCAGCCGCGGUAAUACGUAGGGGGCAAGCGUUAUCCGGAUUUACUGGGUGUAAAGGGAGCGUAGACGGUGCGCCAAGUCUGGAGUGAAAUGCCGCGGGUUAACUGCGGAACUGCUUUGGAAACUGGCGAACGAGAGUGCGGGUGGGGUAAGCGGAAUUCCUAGUGUAGCGGUGAAAUGCGUAGAUAUUAGGAGGAACACCGGUGGCGAAGGCGGCUCACUGGACUGCAACUGACACUGAGGCUCGAAAGUGUGGGUAUCAAACAGGAUUAGAUACCCUUGUAGUC